Molecule: ribosomal RNA, 755 nt
Filed under: uncultured archaeon
Lineage: Archaea
Description: bacterial SSU rRNA
Rfam family: Archaeal small subunit ribosomal RNA
Source: RNAcentral
CCGAUAGAUCAUUAUGCCUGGAAUGGCUUAUGAUCCAAAUGAUUUAUCGCCAUAGGAUGGGACUGCGGCCUAUCAGCUUGUUGGUGAGGUAAUGGCCCACCAAGGCUAUAACAGGUACGGGCUCUGAGAGGAGAAGCCCGGAAAUGGGUACUGAGACACGGACCCAGGCCCUAUGGGGCGCAGCAGGCGAGAAACCUUAGCAAUGUGCGAAAGCACGACUAGGUUAAUCCGAGUGAUUUCUGCUGAAGAAAUCUUUUGUCAGUUCUAAAACUACCGAUGAAUAAGGGGUGGGCAAGUCUGGUGUCAGCCGCCGCGGUAAUACCAGCACCUCGAGUGGUCAGGAGGUUUAUUGGGCCUAAAGCAUCCGUAGCCAGCUAUGCAAGUCUCCGGUUAAAUCCAGCUGCCUAACAGAUGGGCUGCCGGAGAUACUACACAGCUAGGGAGCGGGAGAGGUAGACGGUACUCGGUGGGUAGGGGUAAAAUCCUCUGAUCCAUUGAAGACCACCAGUGGCGAAGGCGGUCUACCAGAACGCGUUCGACGGUGAGGGAUGAAAGCUGGGGGAGCAAACCGGAUUAGAUACCCGGGUAGUCCCAGCUGUAAACGAUGCAAACUCGGUGAUGCGUUGGCUUAUAGCCAACGCAGUGCCGCAGGGAAGCCGUUAAGUUUGCCGCCUGGGAAGUACGGACGCAAGUCUGAAACUUAAAGGAAUUGGCGGGGGAGCACCACAAGGGGUGAAGCCUGCGGUUCAAUUGGA